Molecule: long non-coding RNA, 102 nt
Organism: Sander lucioperca (pikeperch)
Lineage: Eukaryota; Metazoa; Chordata; Actinopteri; Perciformes; Percidae
Exons: 4
Source: RefSeq, a predicted model, not a curated record
UUUAAAGUUACAGGUUUUGUAGGACUCGACUUGACUUGCUUGAUUCUCACCACAGUGACUUGAGACUUGUUUGUGACUUGCACAUGUGUGACUUACUCCCAC